RNAcentral lists this ribosomal RNA (207 nucleotides) under uncultured bacterium. RNAcentral describes it as "partial 16S ribosomal RNA". It matches the Rfam family "Bacterial small subunit ribosomal RNA", at positions 568 to 774 of the family's 1533-position model. The record is from RNAcentral.
CACGUAGGCGGCAAUGCAAGUCGCAGGUGAAAGCCCUCGGCUCAACCGAGGAACUGCCUGCGAAACUACGUUGCUUGAGUCCGGGAGGGGGGAGCGGAAUUCCCAGUGUAGCGGUGAAAUGCGUAGAUACUGGGAGGAACACCGGUGGCGAAGGCGGCUCCCUGGACCGGUACUGACGCUGAGGUGCGAAAGCGUGGGUAGCAAACA